UCAGUGGCUGAGUGGAUAAUGCGGUGGCGUUUGGAGCGAACGAUGCUGGGAUCGAUUCCCAGAGUGA
Molecule: transfer RNA, 67 nt
Filed under: Schistosoma mansoni
Lineage: Eukaryota; Metazoa; Platyhelminthes; Trematoda; Strigeidida; Schistosomatidae
Source: RNAcentral